RNAcentral lists this transfer RNA (69 nucleotides) under Rattus norvegicus (Norway rat). It matches the Rfam family "tRNA". From Rfam's summary of the family: Transfer RNA (tRNA) molecules are approximately 80 nucleotides in length. Their secondary structure includes four short double-helical elements and three loops (D, anti-codon, and T loops). Further hydrogen bonds mediate the characteristic L-shaped molecular structure. tRNAs have two regions of fundamental functional importance: the anti-codon, which is responsible for specific mRNA codon recognition, and the 3' end, to which the tRNAs corresponding amino acid is attached (by aminoacyl-tRNA synthetases). tRNAs cope with the degeneracy of the genetic code in two manners: having more than one tRNA (with a specific anti-codon) for a particular amino acid; and 'wobble' base-pairing, i.e. permitting non-standard base-pairing at the 3rd anti-codon position. The record is from Rfam by way of RNAcentral. Lineage: Eukaryota; Metazoa; Chordata; Mammalia; Rodentia; Muridae.
GGGGACUUAGCUCAGUGGUAGAGCGUUUGCCUAGCAAGCACAAGGUCCUGGGUUCGGUCCCCAGCUCCG